GGUUGACCUCGGAUCAGGAGGAUACCCGCGA
This 31-nucleotide ribosomal RNA is filed under the name Septoria citri. Its description in RNAcentral is "partial 28S ribosomal RNA". The record is from RNAcentral. Lineage: Eukaryota; Fungi; Ascomycota; Dothideomycetes; Mycosphaerellales; Mycosphaerellaceae.